This 497-nucleotide ribosomal RNA is filed under the name uncultured bacterium. RNAcentral describes it as "partial 16S ribosomal RNA". It matches the Rfam family "Bacterial small subunit ribosomal RNA", at positions 28 to 507 of the family's 1533-position model. The record is from RNAcentral.
GAUGAACGCUGGCGGCGUGCCUAAUACAUGCAAGUCGAGCGAACAGACGAGGAGCUUGCUCCUCUGACGUUAGCGGCGGACGGGUGAGUAACACGUGGAUAACCUACCUAUAAGACUGGGAUAACUUCGGGAAACCGGAGCUAAUACCGGAUAAUAUAUUGAACCGCAUGGUUCAAUAGUGAAAGACGGUUUUGCUGUCACUUAUAGAUGGAUCCGCGCCGCAUUAGCUAGUUGGUAAGGUAACGGCUUACCAAGGCGACGAUGCGUAGCCGACCUGAGAGGGUGAUCGGCCACACUGGAACUGAGACACGGUCCAGACUCCUACGGGAGGCAGCAGUAGGGAAUCUUCCGCAAUGGGCGAAAGCCUGACGGAGCAACGCCGCGUGAGUGAUGGAGGUCUUCGGAUCGUAAAACCCUGUUAUUAGGGAAGAACAAAUGUGUAAGUAACUAUGCACGUCUUGACGGUACCUAAUCAGAAAGCCACGGCUAACUACGUG